ACUGGAAUUCCAAGUGUAGCGGUGAAAUGCGUAGAGAUUUGGAGGAACACCAGUGGCGAAGGCGACUUUCUGGUCUGUAACUGACACUGAGGCGCGAAAGCGUGGGGAGCAAACAGGAUUAGAUACCCUGGUAGUCCACGCCGUAAACGAUGAGUGCUAAGUGUUAGAGGGUUUCCGCCCUUUAGUGCUGCAGCUAACGCA
RNAcentral lists this ribosomal RNA (201 nucleotides) under uncultured Bacillus sp. RNAcentral's name for it is "partial 16S ribosomal RNA". It matches the Rfam family "Bacterial small subunit ribosomal RNA", at positions 660 to 859 of the family's 1533-position model. The record is from RNAcentral. Lineage: Bacteria; Bacillati; Bacillota; Bacilli; Caryophanales; Bacillaceae.